GACGAACGCUGGCGGCGUGCUUAACACAUGCAAGUCGAGCGGUAAGGCCCUUUCGGGGGUACACGAGCGGCGAACGGGUGAGUAACACGUGGGUGACCUGCCCUCAGCUCUGGGAUAAGCCCGGGAAACUGGGUCUAAUACCGGAUAUGACUCCAUGACGCAUGUUGUGGGGUGGAAAGCCUUGUGCGGCUGAGGAUGGGCCCGCGGCCUAUCAGCUUGUUGGUGGGGUGAUGGCCUACCAAGGCGACGACGGGUAGCCGGCCUGAGAGGGCGACCGGCCACACUGGGACUGAGACACGGCCCAGACUCCUACGGGAGGCAGCAGUGGGGAAUCUUGCGCAAUGGGCGGAAGCCUGACGCAGCGACGCCGCGUGAGGGAUGACGGCCUGGUGUAACU
Molecule: ribosomal RNA, 397 nt
Filed under: uncultured bacterium
Lineage: Bacteria
Description: bacterial SSU rRNA
Rfam family: Bacterial small subunit ribosomal RNA
Source: RNAcentral